UACGGAGGAUGCAAGCGUUAUCCGGAAUUAUUGGGCGUAAAGCGUCCGCAGGUGGCGAUGUAAGUCUGCUGUUAAAGAGUGAGGCUCAACCUCAUAAGAGCAGUGGAAACUACAUAGCUAGAGUACGUUCGGGGCAGAGGGAAUUCCUGGUGUAGCGGUGAAAUGCGUAGAGAUCAGGAAGAACACCAGUGGCGAAGGCGCUCUGCUAGGCCGUAACUGACGCUGAGGGACGAAAGCUAGGGGAGCGAAUGGG
This 253-nucleotide ribosomal RNA is filed under the name uncultured bacterium. Its description in RNAcentral is "partial 16S ribosomal RNA". It matches the Rfam family "Bacterial small subunit ribosomal RNA", at positions 524 to 776 of the family's 1533-position model. The record is from RNAcentral.